GACAACGCUGGCGGCGUGCUUAACACAUGCAAGUCGAACGGAAAGGCCCUGCUUUUGUGGGGUGCUCGAGUGGCGAACGGGUGAGUAACACGUGAGUAACCUGCCCUUGACUUUGGGGAUAACUUCAGGAAAACUGGGGCUAAUACCGGAUAGGAGCUCCUGCUGCAUGGUGGGGGUUGGAAAGUCUCGGCGGUUGGGGAUGGACUCGCGGCUUAUCAGCUUGUUGGUGGGGUAGUGGCUUACCAAGGCUUUGACGGGUAGCCGGCCUGAGAGGGUGACCGGCCACAUUGGGACUGAGAUACGGCCCAGACUCCUACGGGAGGCAGCAGUGGGGAAUAUUGCACAAUGGGCGGAAGCCUGAUGCAGCAACGCCGCGUGCGGGAUGACGGCCUUCGGGUUGUAAACCGCUUUCGCCUGUGACGAAGCGUGAGUGACGGUAAUGGGUAAAGAAGCACCGGCUAACUACGUG
Molecule: ribosomal RNA, 469 nt
Filed under: uncultured bacterium
Lineage: Bacteria
Description: bacterial SSU rRNA
Rfam family: Bacterial small subunit ribosomal RNA
Source: RNAcentral